GUGUGCGGCGACGUGCCUGGGCUCCGCGAAAGCUCACACUGCUAACGGCUCAGCUGCGGGCCAACUGCCAAUGAGGGACCCGCUUGGGAUUCGGAAGUUUUGCCUUACUGAACUGUGUAACUCGUCCAAGGUCUUACAGAAACUGCAGACAUCUGACCACCUGUCGUACCCUGGACAGAGAGGCUCCCUGCGUCCCCGUGCUGCACAGCCUGGCCGGGGUGACGACAACGGCCGGGAGGGCCCACCAGGGACAGCCGCUGAGGGUGGGCCUGCCCUGCUGACGCGCUGUCGGCCUCAGAGUGACCGGCGGCCUGGGCAGUGCCCCGUCCUGCCCUGCAGCGUGGACCCCUGGGACCAGCCGUCUCAAGGCUCCCUGAGGGGCUCCUGUCUGGAACACACGCCAGGGGCUGAGCCUCCCGCUGACCCUGCAGGUGCGGGGGUCUCGCUGUGCUCCCCUCCCCCAGGGAAAGGCCUCCCCAGGCUGCCUGGUGUGGGGGGGGGCAUGGGGGCAGCGCGUCUCCCCCUGAAAUCGUCAGAGGCCGCGCACACAGGAGCUGAUUACGGGCCUCACGCCACACUCCACCGUCAGCCAUAAACUUCCUGUGAAGCAGACAGAACACGCUUCGUGCACUCGUGUCAUGGAAGGAACGUGGGCGGUCACGUGGCCCAGCCGGAUAAACACCAAGCCCUCUGCACCGGCCGCGGAGAGGCCAUUUGUCCUGCCUGCUCCCGGGACACAUGAAUGCCUGUCCCAGACCCCACCCUGGGGAAGGACAAACACCGGAUAGAGCCGCAGGGACCCCGGAGCCCGGAUGCCCGCCGUCCAGCACUGUUUACGCUCCAGCCCGACUCGGGAGAAAAAUCACUCAGCAGGUGCGCCCUUGGGAGUGGCCGGCGGACUGUCCGUGAGCUUCCUUUCACGCCAUCGAAGACCAGGUUACCGGUCAGCUGUGCCGGCCACCCGCUGGCUCCCCGGGCAUGGCGGCCCCCGCUGAGCGCUGCACAGACCUCGGGACGCCCGACGCCCUCCCUGACACCGAGCCUUCGCCGUAGAUUGCCGUGGGUGCAGCCCGGGGCUGAAGGGAGCACUGGCCCCAUGGAGGAGGCGGGGGCAGGUGCGCUGACGCGGAGGAGAAACGCUGGCCCGGCUCAGUGCCGGGACCCCCUGGAGCGUACACGGGGGGCCCUGAGCAGCCAGGGUGGGCAGAGGCCUCGGGUGGCAGGAGGAAGCCGUCCCAUGGAAGACCCACAACAACCCUGCCUGCAGAUGCGCACACUGAGGCUCGGAGACACGCGGGUCACGUGGGCAGCUCGCGGCAGAACCUCACCCUCGGCCCUACCCCACGGCCAGGCGCUAGACAGCCUGCAUGCAUGGCCUGCGUGCUCCUGUGUCUGCGUAGGCACUGCUGGGCGUCCUCCCGAGACCUGCUCCACCCCGGGCACCUGGCUGGGACCCCACCCCUCCCCGGUGAGCACCCCAUUGAACAGGAGGGUGAGCAGACCAGAGAGGGCAGGUGACUUGCCCAGGGUCACACAGCUGAUUACAACCAGAGAGACCACAGUGGAGCCCCCUGCCUCCUCCUCCAGGGGGCGCUCUGUGGCUGCAGCACCAGCAGCAGGGUGGGUGGCGACAGGCUGGCGCCCACCCUCCCGGUGUUGA
RNAcentral lists this long non-coding RNA (1660 nucleotides) under Oryctolagus cuniculus (rabbit). Its description in RNAcentral is "lncRNA (ENSOCUG00000035948.1)". The record is from RNAcentral. Lineage: Eukaryota; Metazoa; Chordata; Mammalia; Lagomorpha; Leporidae.